AGCGGCGCACGGGUGAGUAACACGUGGAUAACCUGCCUCAAAGUGGGGAAUAACACCGGGAAACCGGUGCUAAUACCGCAUAUUCUGACGAGAUCUGCGGAUUUUGUCAGGAAAGGAGCAAUUCGCUAUGAGAGGGGUCCGCGGCUGAUUAGCUAGUUGGUGAGGUAAUGGCUCACCAAGGCUACGAUCAGUAGCCGGUCUGAGAGGACGGUCGGCCACACUGGAACUGAGACACGGUCCAGACUCCUACGGGAGGCAGCAGUGGGGAAUUUUUCGCAAUGGGGGCAACCCUGACGAAGCAAUGCCGCGUGGAUGAUGAAGUAUCUCGGUACGUAAAAUCCUUUCGACGGGGACGAAACCGCAAGGUUGACGGUACCCGUAGAAGAAGCCCCGGCUAACUCCGUGCCAGCAGCCGCGGUAAUACGGGGGGGGCAAGCGUUGUUCGGAAUUACUGGGCGUAAAGGGUGCGUAGGCGGCUUUCUAAGUCGGAUGUGAAAACUCUGGGCUCAACCCAGAGCCUGCAUCUGAAACUGGAGAGCUAGGGUUUUGGAGGGGAAAGCGGAAUUCCAGGUGUAGCGGUGAAAUGCGUAGAUAUCUGGAGGAACACCGAUGGCGAAGGCGGCUUUCUGGACAAAUACCGACGCUGAGGCACGAAAGCUAGGGGAGCAAACAGGAUUAGAUACCCUGGUAGUCCUAGCCCU
RNAcentral lists this ribosomal RNA (701 nucleotides) under uncultured Acidobacteriota bacterium. Its description in RNAcentral is "bacterial SSU rRNA". It matches the Rfam family "Bacterial small subunit ribosomal RNA", at positions 94 to 803 of the family's 1533-position model. Lineage: Bacteria; Pseudomonadati; Acidobacteriota. The record is from RNAcentral.